AAUCUGAGAAGAUUCAGAGUAGGGGGGAGGGAGUGAAGGAGGGAGGAGGUUUAGUUAAUUUCUGCUAGGGAACUCCUUUGGGUUUUUUCUUUUAAUAAAGUUUUUAAAAGAUCAAAGUCAGAUAGUUUUCUUUCUCACCUUUCAGGCCCAAGAAAGGUUGAACUCUCUCUCUCUUUGUUUAAGGGUAAGCUCCUUGAGAGGAAAGACUGUCUAGAUUUUUCUAUUAUUAUCAUGAGGCACUUAACAAGAUACUUGGCACAUGGUCACUGAAAGACUUUAAGAUACUAACAAGUUUACUCACCCCAGAAGACUUUCUCAUUGGAUAAAAACAAAAAUGGAAUAUCAUUUUGAAAAUUUAAUCAUUUAUUUGUUCAUUCAUCAUUUAUGUAGUUACACAUUCAUUUAUUUAUUCAUUCAUUUGUACAUUUAUUUAUUCAUUUAGGUGUUUGUUUAUUGAUCAACCAAGCUAAAUUCCAGGAAAAUUGUACUUUCCCUUUGGCAGAAAUGUCAGGGAUUUUGUCCCAGUGACCAAGGUAUCAGAAGG
RNAcentral lists this long non-coding RNA (544 nucleotides) under Monodelphis domestica (gray short-tailed opossum). RNAcentral's name for it is "lncRNA (ENSMODG00000048871.1)". The record is from RNAcentral. Lineage: Eukaryota; Metazoa; Chordata; Mammalia; Didelphimorphia; Didelphidae.